Long non-coding RNA from Triticum aestivum (bread wheat), 1023 nucleotides. RefSeq lists it as uncharacterized. The record is from RefSeq and is a predicted model, not a curated record. The transcript has 2 exons. NCBI's taxonomy places the organism in Eukaryota, Viridiplantae, Streptophyta, Magnoliopsida, Poales, Poaceae.
UCCGCACAUCCACCCAGCUCCACCCAGCGCCACUUCUCCACCGGCAGCCGACGCGCACCACCAGAUUUCCUCCCACGCCUCCGCCACAGGCCCAGCCAGGCCUCGCGCGUGCAGGCCGGCCGCCAGCCAGGAGCCCAUACACAGCCAGCCGCGCUGCAACAACGCCACGGCCUGUACGCCGCCUCCCACACCAUGCCCGAGCAAGCAAGUCCCCUCGACCCCGGCGCCUGCAGCUCCUCCUCGGCUCCCUGUCCGGCACUCGGCGCCGUCACCGGCUACCCCCUGCAACUCGAGCCGGAGCAUCACACGGGCGCCAUGAAUCUCCGACCCCGAUGCCCAAGCUCUCGCUGCUGUUCAGCGCCAGAUCCGCGCCGCCCACCCUCUCCGACCGUGUCGGGAGCCGCCGUCGCUGCCUGCUUCGUCUGGGCUUGGAGACGACGAACGCCAGGAGCACCCGCGACGUCCAGCGCUAAGUCCUGCUUGAUCGAGACCCUCAGCGCCACUAAGCAUCGGUCCCGCUGCCCCCGUUACCCCAGCCACCUACCGGAGAGAGAGGGCCUCCCCACCACCCAGUGCCACUCCUCCAUCCAGCGCCCACGAGCUGCCUUGCCCGAGUUCCUUCCUACCUGCUAAAGCCUGGUCGUGGUCCACCGCAGGCUACAACGGCCGCACGUGUUCCAGCCACCCAUGGCUCUGCUCUGCUUCCCCUCUUCCAUGAGGGUGGCACACGUCGGCGUGGUGGUGGGCGCGCAGCGGCAUGGGGGUGCCCGGCGGCACAUGGCGGCGUGGGGUGGGCCGGUGGCGCGUGGUGAGGCGGGGCGUGGUGUGGCAUGACAGGAGGUGGAGAUGGGAUAGGGAUUUGUUUGGAGGGGAUUGGGAGGUAGGUCGUGCGGUAGUACGGCGGGUUGUAUAUCCCAAACCACGACGGUGAACCCGGAGACCCAAUCCGUGCUUUAUUAUUAGGGAGAGACUAGUAAAAGUGCCCGUGCGUUGCAACGGGCGAACAACAAAAACUCACAAAAA